GGAGAGGUGGCUGAGUGGCCUAAAGCGCCGGUUUGCUAAACCGGUGAGGGUGUAACAGCCCUCCACGGGUUCGAAUCCCGUCCUCUCCG
RNAcentral lists this transfer RNA (89 nucleotides) under Gemmatales bacterium. Its description in RNAcentral is "tRNA-Ser". It matches the Rfam family "tRNA". From Rfam's summary of the family: Transfer RNA (tRNA) molecules are approximately 80 nucleotides in length. Their secondary structure includes four short double-helical elements and three loops (D, anti-codon, and T loops). Lineage: Bacteria; Pseudomonadati; Planctomycetota; Planctomycetia; Gemmatales. The record is from RNAcentral.